This 3264-nucleotide long non-coding RNA is filed under the name Bemisia tabaci. RNAcentral describes it as "lncRNA ENSSSA3NGG002595". Lineage: Eukaryota; Metazoa; Arthropoda; Insecta; Hemiptera; Aleyrodidae. The record is from RNAcentral.
AAAGACAGUGCGCCGUGCGGUCGCUGCGGUUUAUAUUAGGUUUUCCGUGCUCAUCGUUCAACAUUGCGACAAUCAAUUAACCAGGUUAGGUUAUGUUACUGUUGUGAUAAAUAAACACGUGCAUUUUUUUCCUUCAGCAAUAUCAAUUUUGCGUUGAAAACACCCAAAAUUUUACAAAACUGUGGGCUACGUUGAAUUCCCAUGUUUUCAGCUGAUUGAAGAUUCUUUCCUGACUUGUCGCAAUUCAUCGUAUUCAUAUUCAUACACGAUGGAUGAUGCUAUGGAUGGAUCAAGUGUCAAAAGGAAGAGCGUCAAGGAGUUGACAAAGAAAGGUGGUAAAAGGGAUGGAACAGCCAAGCGAGCAAAAAAAAGCUUAGCAGCUGAAUCACCGAAAAAGUCUCACUCUAAAGUGGAGAAAAAGAAACAUAAAUUAGAAAAGAAAACAAAGAAGGAUUUGAAGAAAAUUACAAAAGAACUAGGAAAAUUGAAUGCAGAUGAGACGGGAAAAGGCAAAGCAAAAAAGCAGCAAGGCUCUAUAGAGACUGAUGCUCAAAAAAAUCCCAACUUAGAAAGGUUGAAUGAUGCUUGGGGAAGAGCCAUGAAAGAUGUUGCGGAGCAGACAACCUCAGAAUUCCAGAAAGAAUUACUCAAAAAAUGUGAAGGUCAGGUUGUACCUCGCGACAGAAGAGCAAAUUUAUGAACUGGAUUGAAGAGAAUCUUCACUACAGCAAAACAGAACACUAUAGUAAGCUGAGGACUAUUUGGAGGGCUGUCAAAGAAGUAUAUAACAAACAUAAACCGAUGACAAAAACACAUAAACGAAAAAUGGAGAAAAAACGAAGCCAAGUUCGGAAGCAACUUUCUGCCCAGGCGUUCAAAGCUGAGAAUCCACUAGAUGAAGAAACACUCAAAAAGAAGAGAGAAAAAGCUAUGAUAAAGAGGGCAAAACUGAAGAAAAAGAAAUUGGACAAUUUAUUAAAAAAGAAAAGUGGAAUGCGAGUAAAAGAUAGUGCACCACUAAGCGAGGAGCAGAAAGAUGUUGUGAUGAAGGAGUUGAAGAAAAAGAGUAAAGAUAAGAAGAAAGUAAGCUUUUAGGUAUUUAAGUAUACAAUACAUUCGCCACUUAGGUGAUCAAGGAUGGGACUCAAUUUGGGCUAUAUUUUGGAAACACUUAAAAAAUUAUAUCUCUCAUUGAACUUGCAAUUUUCCCUGUGGGUAGGAAUGGUUCCAUGCAUUUUUAAAAGUGAAUGGUUAACUGGAAGUACUUGCAAUUUUUCCUUUUUUUCCUGUAAUGCAAACAUUUUACUUUUUAUCCGUCUAGAAUUUUUCAUGAAAAACAAAGGAAACAUUAUUUUUGGUGGCAUCAAUACCUUUUCAUUCAUAAUUAUUUUACCAGUAAAAAUUAUGUUAUGAAAGAUCAAAAUUUGUAUAACUUUUUCGAGCGUCUUCUUUUGAGUCGUAAACUGUUGCAGAUCUUUCAAAAGUCCAACUGUCUCAAUGUUUCAACAUUAAUGACUAUAAAGUUUACUGUAGAUGUGACAGCAUUGUCAAGUUAUUUUAUCAUAUGCUUCAUUGAAAUAAUGUUUCAAACUAGUUUUAUAAAACCAUGGUGAAAUUCGAAUAAAAUUCUUUAAAAAAAAUACAACUGAAGACUUGGUUCUUCUCUCUUUAUAGAGAUUAAUCGAAACAAAAGUGGCCAAACAUGAAGAAGGGAGUCAACCGCUAAUGUAAGAUAAGUUGGUGUAUUUCCACCUGAGGAAAAUCUAGGAGCUCAAGAAUGUUAAAUAAUAUUAUCAAAAUCAAGCCCAAACUAAAUUCUAAUCUUAGUCUUAAUAACCAAAAAUGCUUCAUGCCUUCCAUUUUUGCUCAAGGACUGAUAAAAGAUCCUUUUUUUAGCCGCUAAAGGCACAAAAAGCAAGCAUUAAUUUGCUUUUUAGAUGGCCUAGAAUUUUAUGACAGUGACAAAUACAAAAUUAUGAAAAUAACGUACUCAAUUUUAGUAACUUUUACAGACUCACAUUUCGUGAAGCUUAUCAAACUGAACUCUACUAGGUUCGCAGACAGAUACAGCAGGAAAUGGGAUGUAAGCAUGUGGAUACAUUAUCGUGCUUAUUGUUGUUUUUGUCAGGCCAAGAAUAUAUUGUUGAUAAACGUCCAAGAUUGAUUUGGCUCCACCAAUUGUGGCUCCAAUGACGAGAACCAUCCACAAAAGCCUUGAGCAAAACAAAAAACCGAUUUCAAGAUAAACUCAAGCCAAAAUGAAAUGAAACGAAUGAAUAUAUUCGUAAUAAUAGCACCCUCACAAAUUAGAAACAAAACCAAACCGUUAACCAAUUAUGCAAAUUCGAAGCUGAAAAUUCCCUCUCCCCAAUUAUUCAUUUGAUGCUUCUCCACAAAAAUGAUUUUUAACAAAUUUCAUUAAACAGUUAUGUUUAUUACCUCUACCUACUCUCACUGUCCAGAUAAAAGUGAGCAAAGUACGUUUCCUGAACAAGAUGGUAGAACAAAGCUGGGGUUACUUUAUUUUCUUAUAAGAAAUCAAAGCCUGAAAGAACACUCACUUUCUCAGUUUUUCACCGGAAUUCAUCAGAAUUCAUUGUGACUCUAAUUCUAAUUUUUAGUUCACUUAUUCCUAUUUUGAUUUCCUGUCAGAACAGAAACCAUAUUAUUACUUACAGUCUUCGUGCUGUAUUUUCAGUAGUUUAUUUUUUUGAGUCUCUUUUUGUAGUUAUCUACAUGGUAGCAUGAAAGCUCGGCUAUGUAAGACAGUUAUUACUGCCACUUAUCAUUGAAGAAUUCUGAUAGAUGUUUUCUCUUGAUGUUUUCUAUUUGCAAUGCAGUCCCACUGAAAACCCAUCAGAGGGUAUGUUGUUUCGUAUUGCAUAUAUCUCUAUUUACAUUAAUUUCAUAUAUUUUUUUCUCAAACCUAUCGAAUGGGGGAUUAUCUGGAGAUGCAGCAUGAUGGACUCCAUGAACUGCUUUUAGCUCCCCAAACUCCUCCAAGCAUUUCUGGCAUUUUAGUCUCCUUUUAUUUCUUCUUUGCAUUCAAGUCGAUAUUUGCUCUUCACUGCCAAGUAUUUUUUGUAGUAAUCUGUUGGAAAAAAGACAACUUUAAACUCUUUCAACCCAGAAUCUGUUUGACAUAAAGUUGGUGAGAACAGUGUUAGAGCUCAAUAAUUACUUAUUAUAUUGGAGGGAGAGUACCUAAUAACUAAGUACAAUAUAACAUCCCGUAUUCCUCUCUUUCUCUUCAUAGAAAUGAGA